UUCCGGAGACGGGAAAGUUUUUUCGCUAUGGGAUGAGGCUGCGGCCUAUCAGCUAGUUGGUGGGGUAAAGGCCUACCAAGGCUACGACGGAUAGCUGGUCUGAGAGGAUGAUCAGCCACACUGGAACUGAGACACGGUCCAGACUCCUACGGGAGGCAGCAGUGAGGAAUAUUGGUCAAUGGGCGAGAGCCUGAACCAGCCAUGCCGCGUGCAGGAAUGAAGGCCCUAUGGGUUGUAAACUGCUUUUGCCCGGGGAUAAACCCUUGUUCGCGAACGAGGUUGAAGGUACCGGGCGAAUAAGCAUCGGCUAACUCCGUGCCAGCAGCCGCGGUAAUACGGAGGAUGCGAGCGUUAUCCGGAUUUAUUGGGUUUAAAGGGUGCGCAGGCGGGUCGAUAAGUCAGUGGUGAAAUCUCCCGGCUCAACCGGGAAACUGCCAUUGAUACUGUCGGUCUAGAGUACAGUUGGGGUAGGCGGAAUGUAGCAUGUAGCGGUGAAAUGCUUAGAGAUGCUACAGAACACCGAUCGCGAGGGCAGCUUACCAAGCUGAAACUGACGCUCAUGCACGAAAGCGUGGGGAUCAAACAGGAUUAGAUACCCUGGUAGUCCACGCUGUAAACGAUGAUCACUAGCUGUUGGCGAUACACAGUCAGUGGCUAAGCGAAAGUGAUAAGUGAUCCACCUGGGGAGUACGAUCGCAAGGUUGAAACUCAAAGGAAUUGACGGGGGCCCGCACAAGCGGAGGAGCAUGUGGUUUAACUCGAUGAUACGCGAGGAACCUUACCUGGGCUUAAAUGUAGGUUGCAUGCGGUGGAAACACUGCUUCCCUUCGGGGCUACUUACAAGGUGCUGCAUGGUUGUCGUCAGCUCGUGCCGUGAGGUGUCGGGUUAAGUCCCAUAACGAGCGCAACCCUUACCCUUAGUUGCCAACGCGUAAAGGCGGGGACUCUAGGGGGACUGCCGGCGCAAGCCGAGAGGAAGGUGGGGAUGACGUCAAAUCAGCACGGCCCUUACGUCCAGGGCUACACACGUGCUACAAUGGCCGGUACAGAGGGCAGCCACCCCGCGAGGGGGAGCGAAUCUCCAAAGCCGGUCUCAGUUCGGAUCGGAGUCUGCAACCCGACUCCGUGAAGUUGGAUUCGCUAGUAAUCGCGCAUCAGCCAUGGCGCGGUGAAUACGUUCCCGGGCCUUGU
RNAcentral lists this ribosomal RNA (1191 nucleotides) under uncultured Sphingobacterium sp. RNAcentral's name for it is "bacterial SSU rRNA". It matches the Rfam family "Bacterial small subunit ribosomal RNA", at positions 190 to 1384 of the family's 1533-position model. Lineage: Bacteria; Pseudomonadati; Bacteroidota; Sphingobacteriia; Sphingobacteriales; Sphingobacteriaceae. The record is from RNAcentral.